UACGAAGGGGGCUAGCGUUGUUCGGAAUUACUGGGCGUAAAGCGCGCGUAGGCGGUGAUCUUUGUCAGAGGUGAAAGCCUGGGGCUCAACCCCAGAAUUGCCUUUGAAACGGGAUCGCUAGAGUCCGAGAGAGGAUGGCGGAAUUCCUAGUGUAGAGGUGAAAUUCGUAGAUAUUCGCAAGAACACCAGUGGCGAAGGCGGCUCACUGGCCCGAUACUGACGCUGAGGUGCGAAAGCGUGGGGAGCGAACAGG
This 253-nucleotide ribosomal RNA is filed under the name uncultured bacterium. Its description in RNAcentral is "partial 16S ribosomal RNA". It matches the Rfam family "Bacterial small subunit ribosomal RNA", at positions 524 to 776 of the family's 1533-position model. The record is from RNAcentral.